UACGUAGGGUGCGAGCGUUGUCCGGAAUUAUUGGGCGUAAAGAGCUCGUAGGCGGUUUGUCGCGUCUGCUGUGAAAACUCAGGGCUUAACCCUGAGCCUGCAGUGGGUACGGGCACACUUGAGUGCUGUAGGGGAGACUGGAAUUCCUGGUGUAGCGGUGAAAUGCGCAGAUAUCAGGAGGAACACCGGUGGCGAAGGCGG
Molecule: ribosomal RNA, 201 nt
Filed under: uncultured bacterium
Lineage: Bacteria
Description: partial 16S ribosomal RNA
Rfam family: Bacterial small subunit ribosomal RNA
Source: RNAcentral